UAGUUUCCACACUGCUCUAGUACUU
RNAcentral lists this non-coding RNA (25 nucleotides) under Mus musculus (house mouse). Lineage: Eukaryota; Metazoa; Chordata; Mammalia; Rodentia; Muridae. The record is from RNAcentral.